GUUUUGGGUUUUUUUUUGUUGUUUCGUUCUUUCCCGUUGGUUCGAGAGGGAAGGGUGAUGGUGGUCGUCGCGCUGAUUAAUUGAAGCUUGGAGGUCGAAUCUGGCGCCCGGCGAAGCCGCGGGGAUGGUGUGACGAUGUUUUCUGUGGCCCUGUGCGGGGCACCAUGUCUUCAUUUGCGAUGGACCGAUCUCGUCCAAUGAUACUCAUGCGUGGAUCGCUUGCAAAGUAUCUUCCGCCGGGUGUUUACCAGUUUGAUGAAUGGCAACCAUGUCUUACUGCUGAGUGUGGGCUAUGAACAAUGUGAUAUCUGUAGAAGACAGGGAAAUGGGCAAUGGCAUUUCUUUUUUACACAGCCUCACUUCCAAGACACAUGCCCCCAGACCCCAUACUUCUGCCCUCAGAUGAAGUAAUAGAGGUUUCCCAUGAUUGGGUACCAGCUAUUAUCAAGGCAAACUAUAUGUGACAUCAUUCCCAUGUCUAGCAAUCGAGAUCAUGGCUUUAGCAAAAGGUGAUAUGUAUGAUUGCAUUCAGCUUGAUAAGAUGAUGCAAGCCCUGGAACAGGUAUACCAGGCAAAUGGCUGCAGAUGAUGCUGCACUUGUUUGCAUUCAACUUCUUCCCUUGAGAUUUUGGAGCUACUUUCUGUUCCAGGUACCUGCCUGGGAAUCUAUGUUGAAACAUGGAAAUGCAUGUGUGCGCGCACAUGCAUACACACAAACAUUUAUGAGAUUAUGAACCAGAUUUUAAAUCCUGUGAGACAAAGGUGUCCUGGUUUCUCCAAUGGAACGGAAUGUCUCAUUGUCCCGUUUCAUCCCGAAAGCAGUCCCAAUCAUACAUCCCAGAACGGGAUGGACAGCCAGAAUGCCUCCCAUUCCAUCGAGGCGUAAAAUCUUGAUCAUGAAAAAGUCUAUUGAGGUAACAUGUCUUUCUCCCUUAGUAGGGAUAUGGUAGCUUGUUAUAAUUAAUCCCAGAACAAGAUUUGUGGAAGGCAUGAUAUCAUUGACAGAUGUAUUCAAGUUGCUUCUAGGCUGAUGUCUCCAUGUAUAUCCCUCCAUCUUCUUUAAAAUUAGAAUUUUGUCUAGCAACAUUGAAUCAAUUAAUAAUUUAAAAAAAAAAACUUAUGAAUCUCUGCUA
Elaeis guineensis (African oil palm) is the source of this 1133-nucleotide non-coding RNA. NCBI's taxonomy places the organism in Eukaryota, Viridiplantae, Streptophyta, Magnoliopsida, Arecales, Arecaceae. The record is from RefSeq and is a predicted model, not a curated record.